This 492-nucleotide ribosomal RNA is filed under the name uncultured Wilcoxina. RNAcentral's name for it is "eukaryotic LSU rRNA". The stretch from base 126 to 279 matches the Rfam family "5.8S ribosomal RNA". Lineage: Eukaryota; Fungi; Ascomycota; Pezizomycetes; Pezizales; Pyronemataceae. The record is from RNAcentral.
GCUUCCAUGGAGCCUGACUUUGGUCACUCUUGUGAUGUAAAUCCCAAGGGAGUCCCCAUGGAAGGUCAUCAAUAAAACUCAUGUAUCCAAUGUCUUCUGUCUGAACUGUUUAUAACAAAUGUUAAAACUUUCAACAACGGAUCUCUUGGUUCUCGCAUCGAUGAAGAACGCAGCGAAAUGCGAUAAGUAUUGUGAAUUGCAGAAUUCAGUGAAUCAUCUAAUCUUUGAACGCACAUUGCGCCUCCUGGUAUUCCGGGAGGCAUGCCUGUUCGAGCGUCAUUAAAUACCUCUCAAGCACCAUUGCUUGGUCAUGCAAGAUGAGUAUGCUUGCAUUCUCCCUUCUGAAAUUCAAAGGCGGAUCAUCUCAUAUUCCCUGGCGUAGUAAAUGUUUAUCUUUCGCUUGGAGUGUGUGACAGUCUUGCUAUCGACCCCCAUUAUUUCAAGGUUGACCUCGGAUCAGGUAGGGAUACCCGCUGAACUUAAGCAUAUCAA